Molecule: transfer RNA, 72 nt
Filed under: Ovis aries (sheep)
Lineage: Eukaryota; Metazoa; Chordata; Mammalia; Artiodactyla; Bovidae
Rfam family: tRNA
About the family: Transfer RNA (tRNA) molecules are approximately 80 nucleotides in length. Their secondary structure includes four short double-helical elements and three loops (D, anti-codon, and T loops). Further hydrogen bonds mediate the characteristic L-shaped molecular structure. tRNAs have two regions of fundamental functional importance: the anti-codon, which is responsible for specific mRNA codon recognition, and the 3' end, to which the tRNAs corresponding amino acid is attached (by aminoacyl-tRNA synthetases). tRNAs cope with the degeneracy of the genetic code in two manners: having more than one tRNA (with a specific anti-codon) for a particular amino acid; and 'wobble' base-pairing, i.e. permitting non-standard base-pairing at the 3rd anti-codon position.
Source: Rfam by way of RNAcentral
UCCCUGCUAGCUCAACUGGUAAAGACUCUGCCUGCAAUGCAGGAGUUCCUGGUUUGAUUCCUGGGUGGAGAA